ACCACUGCACAAAAUACAUCAUUACCCAGAUGUUCCAACAAGGUCGUUAAGCAACUUACUGACAUGACUAUCGUAUAUAUGGUUUAAAAUUCCAUAAUAGUUCAAAAACAUUUACACCUCUUUCUAUACUUAAUGUCUUAUCAUAUAACCACAUUACUCCAAAACACAAGCCUUUCAUCUUAACCAUCUCAAAUGAUAAAGAAUCAACCUCUUAUAAUGAAGCCAUUAAACAUCAUUACUGGAAAGAGGCAAUGUUCAAUCAACUAAAAGUAUUAAAAGACAAUCAAAUAUGAGAAUUAA
This 300-nucleotide long non-coding RNA is filed under the name Carica papaya (papaya). Its description in RNAcentral is "long non-coding RNA (CPAP_LNC004181)". The record is from RNAcentral. Lineage: Eukaryota; Viridiplantae; Streptophyta; Magnoliopsida; Brassicales; Caricaceae.